RNAcentral lists this ribosomal RNA (448 nucleotides) under uncultured alpha proteobacterium SUR-FREE-3. RNAcentral's name for it is "partial 16S ribosomal RNA". The record is from RNAcentral. Lineage: Bacteria; Pseudomonadati; Pseudomonadota; Alphaproteobacteria.
GGUUACCUUGUUACGACUUCACCCCAGUUGCUGAUCGUACCGUAGUCAAAGGUAUAAGCUUUGCCUUAAGGUGUAACCAACUUCCAUGGUGUGACGGGCGGUGUGUACAAUACCCGGGGAACGUAUCACCGCGGCGCGCUGAUCCGCGAUUACUAGCAAUUCCAGCUUCAUGCACUCGAGUUACAGAGUACAAUCCGAACUGAGGUACAUUUUAGAGAUUGGCUAGGACUUGCAUCUUUGCUUCUCAUUGUAAGUUACCAUUGUAGCACGUGUGUAGCCCAACACAUAAAGGGCCAUGAAGGACUUGACGUCAUCCCCACCUUCCUCCAGCUUAUCCACUGGCAGUUCUUUUAAAGUUGCCCAACUAAAUGGUGGCAACUAAAAAUUAGGGGUUGCGCUCGUUUGCGGGGACUUAACCCAACAUCUCACGAACACGAAGCUGAACGAA